UCCCUGCUGGCUCAGAAGGAAGAGAAUCCACCUGCGAUGCGGGAGACCCAGGUUCGAUCCCUGGGUCCGGAG
Molecule: transfer RNA, 72 nt
Filed under: Ovis aries (sheep)
Lineage: Eukaryota; Metazoa; Chordata; Mammalia; Artiodactyla; Bovidae
Rfam family: tRNA
About the family: Transfer RNA (tRNA) molecules are approximately 80 nucleotides in length. Their secondary structure includes four short double-helical elements and three loops (D, anti-codon, and T loops).
Source: Rfam by way of RNAcentral